RNAcentral lists this long non-coding RNA (542 nucleotides) under Nicotiana tabacum (common tobacco). RNAcentral describes it as "long non-coding RNA (NTAB_LNC013808)". Lineage: Eukaryota; Viridiplantae; Streptophyta; Magnoliopsida; Solanales; Solanaceae. The record is from RNAcentral.
GGCUAUUAUUUCGAUAAGUUUGAUAUAACACCCUUUAUGGCCUAGGGCCUUCGCCAUUAAAAGAGAAGGGUUCGACCUCGGUCGAACAACGACGAGCUGUUAUUUCGAUAAGUUCGAAAUAACACCCUUUAAGGCCAAGGGCCUUCACCAAAAAGAGAAGGGUUCUACCUUGAUCGAACUACGACGAGUUGACAUUUUGAUAAGUUCGAAAUAACACCAUUUAAGGACAAGGGCCUUCGGCAAAAAAUAGAAGGGUUCGACCUCGAUCGAGUAACGACAAGUGGUUAUAUCAAUAAGUUUGAAAUAACACCCUUUAAGUCAAAAGGCCUUCUCCAAAAAAGAGAAGGGUAAAACCUCGAACGAACAACAAUGGGAUGUUAUUUCGAUAAGUUUGAAAUAACACUCUUUAUGUCCAAGGGACUUCGCCAAGAAAGAGAAGGGUUUCACCUCGAUCGAGCAAUGAUAGGUGGUUAUUUCGAUAAGUUUGAAAUAACACCCUUUAAGGCCAAGGGCCUUCGCUAAAAAAUAGAAGGGUUCGACCU